UUAAGGAGGCAACGUUGGUUUCAGCGGGUCAAUGUCUUCCGCCCUGUUUCCCGGUGGACUAUGACCCAUCCUUAAAAAGGAAUGAAGUUUUGCUAUCUGCUACCCCAUGGACGAAACUCGAAGAUAUUCUGACAAAGAAAAGAAGGCAGACACAAAAGGGGGCACGAGCAUAUUUUCCUGUCUGCUUUAGCAGCAGUUGCCCCCCCAUGGAUUUCCCAAUGAAUCAGAAGCCGCCUCUGCACAGACCCAUAGUCCACAGCUUAACAUCAGAAGACCCAUUUAAAUCUUUGAAGGGAGUAGCCCUUAGAAGAUAAGCUACCGCUGGCAAGGCUCAAACAAAACAAGUUUUUUACAAAUUACAAAAAUGGCCAGUUAUUCCUCUGCCUGAAUCCAAAUUACUUCACAAUGUGACUGCGGGUCCUUCCAUCAAGAAGACUUGUGUACUUCUCUCUUCCUUGAAUCCGGGCUGACCUUGUGAAUUGCAUUAGCAAUGGAAUAGGACAGAGAAAAUAAAAGCGCACAGGACAGGCGUGUGGUAUUGAUGGAUCUGACUUGCCAGACUGGAAGCCCAAGCAAACCUGCCUGGGUCCUUGCCCGGAGCCUGUCAUCAGUCCCUGGGGCCAUUCCCAUUGGAAGCCAGCCUCCGCUGCCAUGGCAGCCUCUGAGCACCUCCAGAAGCUCCAGCACCUCCUGCUGAAUUGCUCCCGGAGGACCCAAGGCAUGAAGAACACCUGCCCUCAUAGAAAAGCUCAAGGAACUACUGCCAGUCGGCUCCAAGCUACAAAGAGCCAUUAGCUGAUAAUGACCCCUGGAAAAGACACUGUCGCUUCGGAAGGCGAUGGGCGGCUAUGUGGCAACCCAGCACAGCUGGUACAGUCUCCUGCAGCUGCCCACCUCCCCAGAGGCACCAGAGCUGUUAUUUGCUGGCUGGCCAAUCUUAGGAACGUCUUUUCUCCGACCUCGCUCCUGUACCUCUUGGAGAGGUUAGCCAAAGGUGGAGCCCUGCCUAUCUGCUUCGUGUUUGCUCUUUAGCGGUUAUUUCAAGGUCAGCCUAACUCACUGGCAGCCAAGCCCCAGGUUACCCAUCAGCUUGGCAUGUGCUCCUGGAGCCCUGAUUCAAAGCACAGUGCUUACUUUGCUCUCCCUCGCUGCACUUCCCAAGGUAUAGACCCGACGAUGCCAGUGUUUGGAGCCUCCCUGCAAUGCCUUACUCGCAACUCACACAGAAGACGGGUGACCCUCCUUGAGAGCGCUUGGCUAAUGCCAAGCAAUUCAAAUCUUGACAGCCUGUGGUGAGAAGGCUCAGCGCCCACCUGGGCCACUAGCUGCCUUGGGAGAACAGGUGUUAUCGAGUCCAUACGGAGGUGGAGCCUCCUGAUACAGCCUUUUCGGGACAUUUGAUGCCUCCAGCAGUAAGAAUGCAGAUGGCUUCUCCCUUUGGCAGCAGUGACAAGAUUGCUUUUGUGUUUGGGUUUGUCCAGACAAGGCUGGAACGCUCAGUCGGGCUUCUCAUUCAACAGUGUGUGUUUCUCUCCUUGGAGGGAGGGAGUCAGGGAGGUAAGUCUGGUUCCUGCUCUGCCACCAGCUUACGUUGGGAGCGCACACAAAGCACAUGACCUCUCUGGGUCUUGGCUGCCUCCUCUAAAUAAAUAAAUGGAGGAGAUUUCUAAGUCUCCUGUGAGUGCCAAGGUUUUAUGAUUCUCUUGAACUCCAGGGAUGCCAUUCCUACCACCUCCCCAUACACACACACACACACACACACACACACACACACACACACACUCAUAGACAAUGCAAACAAUUUUUUAAUAUGAAUCCAAGCAAAAUGUAAUAAAGAAAGUAAAUUUGCUGUCAAAAUUUGCAUAAUGUAGUCUCAAGCCAAGCAGAAAUGGCAUUUGGACUGUUUGCUGUUUUGAAUUAUCUGCACCACCGCACCCCUGCAUUUGUGCAGAUAAUUGGGAGGUGACUGUAUGUGGGGAAGAUACACAGUCGUCAUACGUGGAUCAUAUCACAGCAAUAGUUCUCAGAGUUUGGGUUAACAUGAUUAACUCAGUUGGUGGAGCCCAAGGAAGAGCAUGUUGCAUCUCUAGGUUUUUAUUAUUAUUAUUAUAGUUUUUAAA
Molecule: long non-coding RNA, 2120 nt
Organism: Sus scrofa (pig)
Lineage: Eukaryota; Metazoa; Chordata; Mammalia; Artiodactyla; Suidae
Source: RefSeq, a predicted model, not a curated record